Cyprinus carpio carpio is the source of this 1149-nucleotide long non-coding RNA. The record is from Ensembl. Lineage: Eukaryota; Metazoa; Chordata; Actinopteri; Cypriniformes; Cyprinidae.
UUAGGUUACAGUUACCAUUUCAGUGCCAGAUAUUAUGUGUUUGUGGAAAAUAACCAGGCCAUCUCUUGAUAAUAAAUGUCAGUGAAGCAGCUCCCACCCCAGCCAUACAAAACAUGACAUCGGGGGGGGAAGAGACAGAAAGAAAGAGACAGAGGUAAACGUACAAAAACAUACACGUGCAGGGUAUAAACAGACAGAGUUAAAUGGUGACAGAGCUUAGUCAACAGUUUUCCCCCCAAACUUCUCACCUGUGACAAACUGACCCAGCAUGGACCCGGCGCUCACGUUUGAAAGGGCACAGAGCAUUUCACCUUGAAAAAAACAGCAGGACUGGAACGGUUACUUCAGAAGAGCACCACUCUGGAAGUCCCUAUUGAAGAUUUAAAGCCAUAUUCUCUGUGGCUUCUCAGUUUCCUCCAUCAUGUCAGAGACUCGACCAAUGCCUGUACAAACUGAGGUGCCUUCAGAGUCUCCAGAGGUGGAGUGUCCAGUUUGCUAUCAGGAGUACGACCAGAGCUCCAAACUCCCACGCAUGCUAGAAUGCCUUCACGUCUUCUGUACAGAAUGUCUCCGUAAGAUCCAGCUCACUCCUUUGCACCCCCCAGACCCCAACAGCGCCCCCUCAAUCUCCUGCCCCCUGUGCCGCCACUCCACCCCGCUACAGAGUGGCGAUGCAUACUCUCUCCCCUGCAACUCACGGAUUCUUGCCCAGUUGCCUCCCGUAGCCUUCCGUCUGCCUGCGUCGGUGUCUGCCCGGCUGGCCACGGUGACCCAGCGCUUGGUGCUAUCUCUGGGGGAGAGGGAUACCCGAUUCAUAAUCCUGCCCACUGUUAGUCUGAGGGUGGAGCAGAUGGGAGAAGGCACAGAAAUGGUAAACCCACCUAGGGUGCUGCAUCGAGAGAUUGAGGUUCUGAGGAGACACAAGAAGACCCUGAUGUGUGUUCAGGUUCUGGCUGUCAUCUUCUGGAUUAUGUUUGUGCUGACUUGUGUGAUUGGAGUUGUGUUUGGGCCAAACCUCUUUCAUAAUUGAAAGAUUAAGGACAUGGGUGUAUCUUGUUACAUUAAUAUAUUUAUUCUGUCCCUGCAUUUUUCAAAUGACAACAUUUAGAUCAUUAUAAAUAGAUCAUUUUGAUUACAUGUAAAACCUAC